ACUAUUUUGGCAGAUAAGUGCAAUGGAUUUAGAAUCUAUAUAUGUAGAAGUAAUUAUAUUCUAUAAGUAGUA
RNAcentral lists this transfer RNA (72 nucleotides) under Cosmozosteria sp. B117. RNAcentral describes it as "tRNA-Leu". The record is from RNAcentral. Lineage: Eukaryota; Metazoa; Arthropoda; Insecta; Blattodea; Blattidae.